UGGGAGACUCAAAACCCUGUUCAACUCUCUCUGGGCUAGCUGCUCCCCUCCCCAAGAGGAUUUCUCUCCAGAGCUGGUAUCAUCGCUUAAUGAUGUUCCACCAACAAGGGGAAGAUUCAGCCAUGUCUUCCUAGGAUCCAGCAUCCAAACCUGGACCAAAGUCCUCGGAUCCUCAGCAAUGGGGGUGCAUCUGGUGAUGGUGUUCAUGCUAAAUUUGUGCCAAGAGACACCUGUACUUGUGGGAGAAUUAAUAUUUCACUUCUGUUUAGGUUUCUUUUCUGGGAGCUGCUAUCACUGAAUACAUAAAGAAAUUGAGCCUAUAUGAUUUCAAUCUUCACCUUCUGAUGCUGAUGAAACAGGAUUCUAUGCAGAGAAAAUCCUCUCCAGUCAAGUAAUUGCAUCCAUUUCAUCUUCCCAGCCCUCCUCUAGAUGGGAGGUGGAGGUGUGUGUACCAAUCUCUUAAUUCAGAAAUGAGACAAGAGGAGGAAAAAGGAGUUCCGGAGGUGUGUGAUCCAAGUCUGGCUGCAGGCUAUGGACAUUCCAGGAGGGAGACUCCAUCAGAGAAGUGGAGCUGGAGUUGGGUGUUAGAGGGACAGUGGGGACCCCAGCCAGAGCCUGGGGACUUGGCUGCCUUGGAACCAGAACCUGGCCCCUCAGAGGAGUUGCAGAAUUUCGAUAGAGGAGUGGCAGGAGGUGUACUGGCUGAAGAGGAGGCCCAAGGAACUCCUUUUCAUACAUCAAAACUGAGCUUAUCACCUCUACCCUGAAGUCAUCCUGGACAUCACUGGUCCCAGUUAAUCACUCACUUAUCUUUGCCAUCCUUGACCUGGU
RNAcentral lists this long non-coding RNA (831 nucleotides) under Homo sapiens (human). Its description in RNAcentral is "non-protein coding lnc-ATAD2B-12:2". Lineage: Eukaryota; Metazoa; Chordata; Mammalia; Primates; Hominidae. The record is from RNAcentral.